Long non-coding RNA from Austrofundulus limnaeus, 1476 nucleotides. RefSeq lists it as uncharacterized. Lineage: Eukaryota; Metazoa; Chordata; Actinopteri; Cyprinodontiformes; Rivulidae. The transcript is spliced from 2 exons. The record is from RefSeq and is a predicted model, not a curated record.
ACACACACAGAAACAAAUGUACUAUGUUUUGGGUGAAAGUGAUGUUGUUGCUGUGACCCCUGGAGGACAACAGUGUGAACAACACACAACACACACUCAUGAUACAAAAUGGGAAUCUUUGUUUUUAAAACAAGAAAACAAAAACUAAUCUAAAGAAGAAAAUCAUCUAAACAAGAAAAAUGUCUAACAGUUUAAACAAUAUGUAAAGUACAUGACAAUGGUGUGAAACUCAAAAACAUCUUUUAAUACUACAGCGCCCUCAUUUGGCUGAAAACAAAAACUACUGCAGGCUGAAAAAAGUUGGACAACAUUUGCAGAUAUUCUGUCUGUUUGAUCUGUUGAGCUCAAGUUGUCAAAGAUAAUCUGUGCGCCACAUCUGUUCAGACAAGAGAUGCUGAGCACAAAUAAAAUGGAGCCAGAAAAAAACAAAGAAUUUUUACAAACAACAACAACUCAACUUGUACCAUGACAGAARCUGAUGUUAAUGCUAACAGAUAGCCACAAGAUAAACACUUUGUUUURUGAUAUAAGUCAGGCAGGAAGUUCUUUUAAACCAGUAUUUUGCAUAUUUUGGUCAUCUGAUUACCCAGUCAGGCAUGUACAUUUCAAGACUUAUAAACAACUUCAUAAAUCAUCAGCAUGACCUAGCUGUUUAUAAAUAUGAACUGAAUAAAUCAUUUUUUUUACCAGAACAAACCAGUAAACAGAAAGAAUGAAACACCAGUACAUGAACAGUUACACCCAUAUAAUAAGUUCAAAUGAAGGUCAUCUUUUCUUUAUAAACUUUGCAUUAACAGUUAAAAGCAAUGAUCUCUUUUUAUCCUGUGCCUUAUGUAACUUGUAGCAACACCUGCACUGAUUAACGGUGUCAGCUGCAGUGAGGCUCUGAUUCUUGGAUUUAUUCCCAAUCCUCAGUUUGAGUAAUAAAAAUGUUCUGUUUGUGUCUCAGCUGGGAAAAGCUAGGAAACAACACUGACAUCCCAGAAUAACCAGCCUUCAGUCUCAACAUCAACUGCUACGGGUUGAUUCUUCAAAAAGGUCUGUGCAUUUAGAGAACUCUGAAGAAACAAGGGGUGGGGUUGGGUUGGGGGGGGGCAGAGUCGAUGUUAAACAUGAGUAAACAAGGACUUCCUCCCUGAGGGUCAAAAUCUGCACCUGGUUUUCUCAUUCCUGCUCUGCAACAGAGAGCAGCCGUGGCCCAGAGGAAACAUGGUCCUACAGAGCAGCUCCAAACCAACAGAUCUGUUCUGAAAGGUGGUCCAGGUGGUCCAGGUGGUGUGACACAGCUUUCAGCUCUUCACCUGGGGCCUCGUCGAGCCUCUGUGAAGCUCUGACAUGUGGCAUGGAACAACAAGCUGCAGGGCAGAGACAGGAGAGAGGGAGGCGCAGGGACGACUUCAGAAACUGAAUUUGAAUUGAUCCAAUUGAAUCUGUGUUUGCAAAAUGUAAAAUUAAAUGCACUGGUUUGAAAAUUAA